RNAcentral lists this ribosomal RNA (460 nucleotides) under uncultured bacterium. Its description in RNAcentral is "partial 16S ribosomal RNA". It matches the Rfam family "Bacterial small subunit ribosomal RNA", at positions 338 to 795 of the family's 1533-position model. The record is from RNAcentral.
CCUACGGGCGGCAGCAGUGAGGAAUAUUGGUCAAUGGACGAGAGUCUGAACCAGCCAAGUCGCGUGAAGGAUGACUGCCCUAUGGGUUGUAAACUUCUUUUAUAUGGGAAUAAAACGUUCCACGUGUGGGAUUUUGUAUGUACCAUAUGAAUAAGGAUCGGCUAACUCCGUGCCAGCAGCCGCGGUAAUACGGAGGAUCCGAGCGUUAUCCGGAUUUAUUGGGUUUAAAGGGAGCGUAGGUGGAUUGUUAAGUCAGUUGUGAAAGUUUGCGGCUCAACCGUAAAAUUGCAGUUGAAACUGGCAGUCUUGAGUACAGUAGAGGUGGGCGGAAUUCGUGGUGUAGCGGUGAAAUGCUUAGAUAUCACGAAGAACUCCGAUUGCGAAGGCAGUUCACUGGACUGCAACUGACACUGAGGCGCGAAAGUGUGGGUAUCAAACAGGAUUAGAUACCCCUGUAGUC